GGUGCCCGUACCGCAAACCGACACAGGUAGGUAGGAAGAAGAUUCUAAGGCCAACGGGAGAAGGGUUGUUAAGGAACUCGGCAAAUUGACCCCGUAACUUCGGGAGAAGGGGUGCUCCAGAGAUGGAGCCGCAGAGAAUCGGCCCAAGCAACUGUUUACCAAAAACACAGGUUUGUGCUAAAUCGAAAGAUGACGUAUACGAGCUGACGCCUGCCCGGUGCUGGAAGGUUAAGAGGAGAUGUGCAAGCAUUGAAUCGAAGCCCCAGUGAACGGCGGCCGUAACUAUAACGGUCCUAAGGUAGCGAAAUUCCUUGUCAGGUAAGUUCUGACCCGCAUGAAAGGCGUAAUGAUUUGGGCACUGUCUCAACAGCCCGCCCGGCGAAAUUGUAGUACCGGUGAAGAUGCCGGUUACCCGCGACAAGACGGAAAGACCCCAUGGAGCUUUACUGUAGCCUAAUAUUGGGUUUCGAUGUUGCAUGCACAGGAUAGAUGGGACACUGGGAAGCAGGUGCUUUGGCGCUUGUGGAGUGGCCGUUGGGAUACCAUCCUUGCGAUAUUGGAAUUCUAACCUGCGGCUCUGAAUCGAGUCGGGGGACAUUGUUAGGUGGGCAGUUUGACUGGGGCGGUCGCCUCCUAAAGAGUAACGGAGGCGUUCAAAGGUUCGCUCAGCUUGAACGGAAAUCAAGCAAAAGAGUGCAAACGCAGAAGCGAGCCUAACUGCGAGACUGACGGGUCGAGCAGUAACGAAAGUUGGAGUUAGUGAUCCGGUGGUAUGUGAGUGGAAAUGCCAUCGCUCAACGGAUAAAAGUUACCCUGGGGAUAACAGGCUGAUCUCCCCCAAGAGUCCACAUCGACGGGGAGGUUUGGCACCUCGAUGUCGGCUCAUCGCAUCCUGGGGCUGUAGUAGGUCCCAAGGGUUGGGCUGUUCGCCCAUUAAAGCGGUACGCGAGCUGGGUUCAGAACGUCGUGAGACAGUUCGGUCCCUAUCUGUCGUGGGCGCAGGAUAUUUGAUGGGAGCUGUCCCUAGUACGAGAGGACCGGGACGGACGUACCUCUGGCGCACCAGUUGUUCCGCCAGGAGCAUAGCUGGGCAACUACGUACGGAUCGGAUAAACGCUGAAAGCAUCUAAGCGUGAAGCCGACCCAAAGAUAAGAUAUCCCAUUGUUUCAAACAAGUAAGACCCCUUGAAGACUACAAGGUUGAUAGGCACGAUGUGUAAGUGGAGCGAUCCAUUCAGCAAGCGUGUACUAAUAGGUCGAGGGCUUGACCA
Molecule: ribosomal RNA, 1271 nt
Filed under: metagenome
Description: bacterial LSU rRNA
Rfam family: Bacterial large subunit ribosomal RNA
Source: RNAcentral